CUAGCGGCAGGCCUAACACAUGCAAGUCGAGGGGUAACAUUGUGCUUGCACAGAUGACGACCGGCGCACGGGUGCGUAACGCGUAUAGAAUCUACCUUUUGCUACGGGAUAGCCCAGAGAAAUUUGGAUUAAUAUCGUAUAGUAUGCAUUAUCUUCAUGGGUUUUGUAUUAAAGGUUACGGCAAAAGAUGACUAUGCGUCCUAUUAGCUAGAUGGUGAGGUAACGGCUUACCAUGGCAACGAUAGGUAGGGGCCCUGAGAGGGGGAUCCCCCACACUGGUACUGAGACACGGACCAGACUCCUACGGGAGGCAGCAGUGAGGAAUAUUGGACAAUGGAGGCAACUCUGAUCCAGCCAUGCCGCGUGCAGGAUGACUGCCCUAUGGGUUGUAAACUGCUUUUAUACAGGAAGAAACCUCGCUACGUGUAGCGACUUGACGGUACUGUAAGAAUAAGGAUCGGCUAACUCCGUGCCAGCAGCCGCGGUAAUACGGAGGAUCCAAGCGUUAUCCGGAAUCAUUGGGUUUAAAGGGUCCGUAGGUGGAUAAUUAAGUCAGGGGUGAAAGUUUGCAGCUCAACUGUAAAAUUGCCUUUGAUACUGGUUAUCUUGAAUCAUUAUGAAGUGGUUAGAAUAUGUAGUGUAGCGGUGAAAUGCAUAGAUAUUACAUAGAAUACCAAUUGCGAAGGCAGAUCACUAAUAAUGUAUUGACACUGAUGGACGAAAGCGUGGGGAGCGAACAGGAUUAGAUACCCUGGUAGUCCACGCCGUAAACGAUGGAUACUAGCUGUUCGGAACUUGUUUCUGAGUGGCUAAGCGAAAGUGAUA
RNAcentral lists this ribosomal RNA (825 nucleotides) under uncultured Algibacter sp. Its description in RNAcentral is "bacterial SSU rRNA". It matches the Rfam family "Bacterial small subunit ribosomal RNA", at positions 36 to 862 of the family's 1533-position model. The record is from RNAcentral. Lineage: Bacteria; Pseudomonadati; Bacteroidota; Flavobacteriia; Flavobacteriales; Flavobacteriaceae.